This is a long non-coding RNA of Triticum aestivum (bread wheat), 1942 nucleotides long. RefSeq lists it as uncharacterized. The record is from RefSeq and is a predicted model, not a curated record. The transcript is spliced from 6 exons. Lineage: Eukaryota; Viridiplantae; Streptophyta; Magnoliopsida; Poales; Poaceae.
ACGCAGUGCGGAGGCGGACACUGGAAGAAAAACCAAACCCCGCAGUCUAGCAUAGAGUGUCGAACAAACCAGAAGGCGGGGAGAUCGCCGGGAACUGUCCGAUGACCGGCGGUAGCAGAGGCACCACCCGGCGUCAAUCCGCCGCCUCCAGCAGCUGCGGCGACCCCUUCUCCUCUUCCCCAGAUCCGGAAACGAUCCGGAUGGCGACCAUGCCCCGCUGCGCCUCAUGGCCGGGAGCGCCAGAACCCCCUCCUCCUAUGAAUCGAUUCGUUCACCCUCCUGUCCGUCACCUUCCUCGCGUAUACCGGCAGGUGGUUGCAGACGGAGUCGUAGGCCGCCGCGGCGCUGCGCAGGAUGGCGCUCCUUCACGCCGCUUGAUGCGCCCCGGAUGAUGGAUCUGCCUCAGGUGAGGAUCGUUUGUUCGUGGCGUCAUUUCUGUCGACCCCUUCUUUGCUUUGCUCUAGAAUGCGACAUCUCAAUUGGUCAUAUAGGUGUUACUACUAUUAUUUGUACUCCAGUUGAACAUUUCUGCUCUAUGUCUGAAUAUUUGGUUAAGAUGAACUGGGGCUGAACAUUUGGUACAGUACAAUGGAACGAGGAUUCUAACGUGUUGUAUGCACUCUACUUCUGCACAACGUGAUUUGCAAGGCGAUCACAAAGAAAGCCUGUAUUGGGGGACUUGCAGGCCAAUUGUAUAUCUCAGAAUUCGUGCUAGGCACUUAACUAUGUUGAUCCUUUUCUCUUUCCGCUUAUGACAUGAUAGUUGGAAUUAUUCUGAUCUCUUUCUCAUGGCUUUCUGUUGGGUUUCAUCUCUAGCCAACCCCAACUUGCUUGGGACAAAAGGACCGAAGACAUUCGUAUUGCUAGCAGCAUUAGUUUUUAUGCAAAGUGGGAAGCUUUAAUCUGCCGGACAUGAUUGAAGACUCUUCAAACAUAAUGAUCUAUCUGGUACUUUAAAGGUUUCAACAAGAACUUCCUGGCAAAAUAGACAUAGUGUUCUUGUCAGGGGCUGGCUCAAAAACUCCAAUGGUUGCAGCAUUAGCAGUCUAACAGUGCACAUUCUGAACAUUUUGAAGGAAGUCACACAAGCACUUGACUGUCUUGCUUCCUCGUAUCAGAUAUGAUAUCAGUUUUACUUGCAUCUUGUCCUUAUGUUGAACCUGAACUUCUGGAGUUUUGAAGACACGAUAUGUUCGUUUUGUUUGUUAAUUGUUAUAUCGAUGAUGAUGUCAGAUUUGUCAGCUCCCAUUCUGAGCACCUGGAUUGAAUCAAAAGAGAAGGAUUUUGAAGAGAGAUACGAUCAAAUGUUCAACAUAAAUAAUAAGCAACACCUUCAAGAAGGAAUAACGUCCUCACGUUAUCAUUGCCACAUCUGGCCAAAGACGAUCUAGAGGAGGAUUUUCAUCCCGGUUGCCGAGACCAGCCAAUGAAGACCAGUACAACAACAAUUUGGUCCGGUUUGCAGAUGAUGCGGCAGCGCCUGUUGCACUUGCUCAAAAGAGUGGUGGAGCGGACACUCUGCCGGAAGAAAAGAUAUCCUGAUGCUGGACAAAUGCAUCCAAGGCGAGGGAAUGUCCCCGGCCCGGCUUGGCUCGGCUCAGCUUGAAGAAGAGAAAAACUGUGCUGGUGCUGGGAUUUGGAAGAUGGCGCUCUAGCUAUUGAUCUGAUCAGGAUUCAGGAGUAUAGUCCUGAUAGCUGAAGUCUGUAGUGGAGACUGGCGCAGGGUACAAAGUUGUAGUAAUACUCUUUUGAAGCUUUCCCCCCCAAAAUUUUGACGCAUACAGAGUUGUACUUCCUCCGUCCCAUAAUAUGUACUAGUGUAAUAACAUCUUAUAUUAUGGGACGAAGAAAGUAAUAAUUGUUAGUAAUAUGUACUAGUGUGUUAAGAACACAGGGACGAUGCACAAGAACAAUGCCUGCCAAAGAACUUUGUGAGACUGAA